ACAACCGCAUCAAGUGCACCAACCAGUACAGCAACAGUUUCACCCUCAUGUCGUUACCCGCUGUGGCAGUCACCUGGGAAGCUGCUCCUGCACAAGCUCUUGUCAGUACUAUGGAAAUUGUUGCUAUGACUACAGCUAUCACUGCUACCAAAUAACCAGCAGGCCAAAUUACAC
Long non-coding RNA from Thalassophryne amazonica, 174 nucleotides. RefSeq lists it as uncharacterized. The record is from RefSeq and is a predicted model, not a curated record. The transcript is spliced from 3 exons. NCBI's taxonomy places the organism in Eukaryota, Metazoa, Chordata, Actinopteri, Batrachoidiformes, Batrachoididae.